CCUACGGGGGGCUGCAGUGGGGAAUAUUGGACAAUGGGGGGAACCCUGAUCCAGCCAUGCCGCGUGUGUGAAGAAGGCCCUCGGGUUGUAAAGCACUUUCAGUGAGGAAGAACGCCUGGUGGUGAAUACCCAUCAGGAAAGACAUCACUCACAGAAGAAGCACCGGCUAACUCCGUGCCAGCAGCCGCGGUAAUACGGAGGGUGCGAGCGUUAAUCGGAAUUACUGGGCGUAAAGCGCGCGUAGGUGGCUUGAUAAGCCGGUUGUGAAAGCCCCGGGCUCAACCUGGGAACGGCAUCCGGAACUGUCAAGCUAGAGUGAAGGAGAGGAAGGUAGAAUUCCCGGUGUAGCGGUGAAAUGCGUAGAGAUCGGGAGGAAUACCAGUGGCGAAGGCGGCUUUCUGGACUGACACUGACACUGAGGUGCGAAAGCGUGGGUAGCAAACAGGAUUAGAUACCCCAGUAGUC
RNAcentral lists this ribosomal RNA (465 nucleotides) under Vreelandella stevensii. RNAcentral describes it as "partial 16S ribosomal RNA". It matches the Rfam family "Bacterial small subunit ribosomal RNA", at positions 338 to 795 of the family's 1533-position model. Lineage: Bacteria; Pseudomonadati; Pseudomonadota; Gammaproteobacteria; Oceanospirillales; Halomonadaceae. The record is from RNAcentral.